GAUGAACGCUAGCGGCAGGCUUAAUACAUGCAAGUCGAGGGGCAGCACGAAUAGCAAUAUUUGGUGGCGACCGGCAAACGGGUGCGGAACACGUACGCAACCUUCCCAUAACUGGUGAAUAGCCUUCCGAAAGGGAGAUUAAUACACCGUAACAUAGUUGAGUGGCAUCACUUGACUAUUAUAGCUUCGGCGGUUUUGGAUGGGCGUGCGGCUGAUUAGGUAGUUGGCGGGGUAACGGCCCACCAAGCCUCCGAUCAGUAACUGGUGUGAGAGCACGACCAGUCACACGGGCACUGAGACACGGGCCCGACUCCUACGGGUGGCAG
Molecule: ribosomal RNA, 326 nt
Filed under: uncultured Bacteroidota bacterium
Lineage: Bacteria; Pseudomonadati; Bacteroidota
Description: bacterial SSU rRNA
Rfam family: Bacterial small subunit ribosomal RNA
Source: RNAcentral